This 411-nucleotide ribosomal RNA is filed under the name uncultured Klebsiella sp. RNAcentral describes it as "bacterial SSU rRNA". It matches the Rfam family "Bacterial small subunit ribosomal RNA", at positions 982 to 1393 of the family's 1533-position model. The record is from RNAcentral. Lineage: Bacteria; Pseudomonadati; Pseudomonadota; Gammaproteobacteria; Enterobacterales; Enterobacteriaceae.
CGGGACCCCAGUACUUUGCCAGAGAUGCCUUGGUGCCUUCGGGACUCGUGAGACAGGUGCUGCAUGGCUGUCGUCAGCUCGUGUUGUGAAAUGUUGGGUUAAGUCCCGCAACGAGCGCAACCCUUAUCCUUUGUUGCCAGCGGUCCGGCCGGGAACUCAAAGGAGACUGCCAGUGAUAAACUGGAGGAAGGUGGGGAUGACGUCAAGUCAUCAUGGCCCUUACGACCAGGGCUACACACGUGCUACAAUGGCAUAUACAAAGAGAAGCGACCUCGCGAGAGCAAGCGGACCUCAUAAAGUAUGUCGUAGUCCGGAUUGGAGUCUGCAACUCGACUCCAUGAAGUCGGAAUCGCUAGUAAUCGUAGAUCAGAAUGCUACGGUGAAUACGUUCCCGGGUCUUGUACACACCGA